RNAcentral lists this ribosomal RNA (468 nucleotides) under uncultured bacterium. RNAcentral describes it as "partial 16S ribosomal RNA". It matches the Rfam family "Bacterial small subunit ribosomal RNA", at positions 28 to 507 of the family's 1533-position model. The record is from RNAcentral.
GACGAACGCUGGCGGCGUGCUUAACACAUGCAAGUCGAACGGAAAGGCCCUGCUUUUGUGGGGUGCUCGAGUGGCGAACGGGUGAGUAACACGUGAGUAACCUGCCCUUGACUUUGGGAUAACUUCAGGAAACUUGGGCUAAUACCGGAUAGGAGCUCCUGCUGCAUGGUGGGGGUUGGAAAGUUUCGGCGGUUGGGGAUGGACUCGCGGCUUAUCAGCUUGUUGGUGGGGUAGCGGCUUACCAAGGCUUUGACGGGUAGCCGGCCUGAGAGGGUGACCGGCCACAUUGGGACUGAGAUACGGCCCAGACUCAUACGGGAGGCAGCAGUGGGGAAUAUUGCACAAUGGGCGGAAGCCUGAUGCAGCAACGCCGCGUGCGGGAUGACGGCCUUCGGGUUGUAAACCGCUUUCGCCUGUGACGAAGCGUGAGUGACGGUAAUGGGUAAAGAAGCACCGGCUAACUACGUG